This 305-nucleotide ribosomal RNA is filed under the name uncultured bacterium. Its description in RNAcentral is "bacterial SSU rRNA". It matches the Rfam family "Bacterial small subunit ribosomal RNA", at positions 335 to 657 of the family's 1533-position model. The record is from RNAcentral.
UAACCUACGGGACGCAGCAGUGGGGGAUAUUGCACAAUGGGGGAAACCCUGAUGCAGCGACGCCGCGUGAGUGAAGAAGUAAUUCGUUACGUAAAGCUCUAUCAGCAGGGAAGAAAAUGACGGUACCUGACUAAGAAGCCCCGGCUAACUACGUGCCAGCAGCCGCGGUAAUACGUAGGGGGCAAGCGUUAUCCGGAAUUACUGGGUGUAAAGGGAGCGCAGACGGCAGUGCAAGUCUGGAGUGAAAGACCGUGGCUUAACUACGGGACUGUUCUGGAAACUGUGCAGAUAGAGUGGAGGAGAGG